Molecule: non-coding RNA, 1495 nt
Organism: Pelobates cultripes (western spadefoot toad)
Lineage: Eukaryota; Metazoa; Chordata; Amphibia; Anura; Pelobatidae
Source: the annotation of a GenBank genome assembly
GGAGCUAAGAAUAUAAACUUGUCAGGAUAUUUAUAUCGGCAGACAUUUUGUGCUAAGAUAGAAAUUAAAAGUGUAUAUUGCCAUGGUCACUCAGAACAAAGCGGACUCCAUUUUGCUAUCUUCAGGCAAGACAGUCACAACAUUUCUUUCCUUUCUUAUGUAAACAAGCCAAGUGAUAAGCAAUGAAGCAGGGGGAUGGAAUGCUCUGUUUAAAUGUUAAUGGGAUAGAAAUAAUUUUAAACACAGACACUAGUGACAGAGAAGACUCAGUAAUUUAUUUUACUUUCUAAAUUUUACAAGGUCCCAUUGUAAGUAAGGGGUGAAAUUGAGUUUAGAACUGUCAAUUUUAGAAAUUACAACAGGAAUUGUCGACGCGCCGUCUGGAGAAAAUCCAAAGAAACGCUUUGAACUGACAGCAAAUUUAAGUUAUGGUGAUCAUUUUAGGUAAGCCAAAUGACAUCAGAAUCGUCAUCAAAAUAAGUUAACUCUUUCGAGGACAGAAAAUUUUGAUGAGGCAAUUGCGCCCUCGAUUGACCAAAAACUAGAUAAUACUAGAUAACGUAGACACACCUACAGUUUCCUAUUGGCCUUAUCAACUAAUGACGUACAGAGAGUCUGGCCCUUUAAAAGUUAGGACUAAGGGAAGGGAGAGGGUAGUUUGGGCUUUCAGAUUAAAAUUCAGAGAGAUCCAGGACAGAUAUUCAGGACACUCUGGGACUAACACUCAACUCUCAAACUCUCUUGGACACAACUCAAGAAACACUCCUUAACACUUAGAAUGUAACUAUUAUUUUCUAACCAACAUCACUUUUCUCUAUUACUUACACACCUCCAUACAACUAAUCAUACUCGCAUUCAAGUUCCUGGAACUACCUACUCAUCUGGUAAUUAUGCUGGUUUUAUUUAAUUAACCUAAAUUAAUUAAAAUCUAUUAAUAGCAGGAUACAUGCAUGGAUAAAUCCUGAUCAGAUCCCAUAAUUGAGGAAUCUUAAUUAAAUAAAGAAUAUGUAGUUAUAACACUCCAUUCUGCAGGUGGAGUCAGAUAAUUACAUAGUACUGGUAUCUUACCACGUGUUAGCAUACCGCUGUUUUUAUCCAUGUGUGUUGAUUUGCUCUGAAAUAAGAUAAGAUAUCUUUUUAGGCAAAUUAAAAUUCGGCUUAUAGAAUCUGUAGAUUUGACUCUUUUGGAUGGUUCCAGGAAAUGAUUAAUGAGCUGGUUUGAAUGUUAUUUUAAUUGAAAAUUACAUGAGAAUAGGAUAUUAUAUGCCUAGGCGGAUCUAACCAGCAUUGAAAGGGUUACUCAGUUGAUUUGACUGUUAGCCAAGGUUUUAUGGCUUUUCGCUGUGUGAAGUUUAGCUUUCUGUGUCUGUGAAGUACCCUCAUAAAUCUUGUAAGUCUUGUAAGUCAGUUGAUGCUGUAGCUUUGUACUGUGUUUAGCCAUUGCCAUUGUAUACGACGUUAUACUAAAUAUUCACUGAUUAUUAUCAUGCAUGCU